Molecule: ribosomal RNA, 523 nt
Filed under: uncultured Acidobacteriota bacterium
Lineage: Bacteria; Pseudomonadati; Acidobacteriota
Description: bacterial SSU rRNA
Rfam family: Bacterial small subunit ribosomal RNA
Source: RNAcentral
UCGGGAAUUUUGGGCAAUGGGCGAAAGCCUGACCCAGCAACGCCGCGUGAAGGAUGAAAUCCCUCGGGAUGUAAACUUCGCAAGAACGGGAAGAAUAAGUAAGAGUUAAUAUCUCCUACGAUGACGGUACUGUUUGUAAGCUCCGGCUAACUCCGUGCCAGCAGCCGCGGUAAUACGGGGGGAGCAAGCGUUGUUCGGAUUUACUGGGCGUAAAGGGCGCGUAGGCGGCCACCGCAAGUCGACUGUGAAAUCUCCGGGCUUAACCCGGAAAGGUCAGCCGAUACUGCGGGGCUAGAGUGCAGAAGGGGCAACUGGAAUUCUCGGUGUAGCGGUGAAAUGCGUAGAUAUCGAGAGGAACACCUGCGGCGAAGGCGGGUUGCUGGGCUGACACUGACGCUGAGGCGCGAAAGCUAGGGGAGCGAACGGGAUUAGAUACCCCGGUAGUCCUAGCCUUAAACGAUGAAUGCUUGGUGUCUGGGGUUUUAUAGUCCCGGGUGCCGUCGCUAACGCUUUAAGCAUUCCG